AAAUAGACCUAGUGCCCUGAUUGAGAAGACUAUAUGUUUGUUUUGCUAUUGUUUCUAUUGUAUUUUGCUCGGAAACGUUCUAGAUGUCUACAAAGUACAACUAUAGUGACUGUAGUUUCGGUUUGCAAAAAAAGAAGAUCAAAGCAAACAAGAUUUGUCGAAGUGGUCGUUUUGUCCACUGGUCCUAGUUAAUUUAAACAAGGCUAGGCGGUAAUUUCCGAAAAGUUUGAAAUUUCGAAAAAAAAAUGUUGCAAACAGUUUUGUUUCAAAAUUUUUGAAGUAUUUUUUCGUAUUUUUUUUAAAGAAAAAAGAAGUGACACUUGCAUAAAUGCUGAACUAUUGGAUAGUUUGCAAAAUAAAAUCAUGUUUGCAUGAUCUUCAUCUCUAGACUGUACUCUCCGAAUUUAUCCAUCUUCCCAAAAAGUCCACUCUCUGCCUCUCUGUCUCCCUCUCUGCACACAGUGAUUCGCACGUUUUUACGAAACUAACACGGCGCCGGCUUAUCAUCAUAUAAUGGCUAGGCAGGUUUUAUAUGUUCAGACGCAAUAUAUGAGUGACACUCUGACUCAUUUUAUGCCUUUCUUGAAGCAAACAUUUUCAAUUUCGCGUUUCUUUUUUUUUCCUUUUCUUCGACGCCGCGUCGUAUUCUUCUCAACUAAAUUAGUUUCCCGUCGAAUGAGUUUCCUUCUUACUCUUUGAAAAUAAGAAGACAAUGCGGUGGUUUCUAUGGUUUAACUGCAUGGCUCCAAGAGUCCAAGUCCAUUCUUUUGUGUAUGUUUGUCAAUGGUUACAAAGUUCUCGUCUCGUUUCCCGCGCGCUCAGUGUUUUCCUUCCGUCGCCCAGAGAAGCUUAAAAGCCUCUCUUGAGCUGGAGGAGCACACGCCGCCGCCGGCUCCGCACUCCUCGCAAUUUUGGAAAUUGCAUGAGCCUCUUCUUUCCUUCCUUCCUUUCCCGCCACGCCCCUUUCCUCCCCCGUUUUCCAUUUCAUCGAACUGACUGACGGGAGAGGAAGGAUGGACGAUAGACGGGGUGGCAAAAUAUUCAACCCCAUUGUUUGCCCCCGUUUCUGACGAAGAGCCCGUGCACAUACAUAGGCUCGCACUCUCAUUCCGCACAUUUUAUCUCGUUGAAUUCAAU
This is a non-coding RNA of Caenorhabditis elegans, 1137 nucleotides long. NCBI's taxonomy places the organism in Eukaryota, Metazoa, Nematoda, Chromadorea, Rhabditida, Rhabditidae. The record is from Ensembl.